This 484-nucleotide ribosomal RNA is filed under the name uncultured bacterium. RNAcentral's name for it is "partial 16S ribosomal RNA". It matches the Rfam family "Bacterial small subunit ribosomal RNA", at positions 30 to 507 of the family's 1533-position model. The record is from RNAcentral.
AUUGAACGCUGGCGGCAGGCCUAACACAUGCAAGUCGAGCGGAUGAAGGGAGCUUGCUCCUGGAUUCAGCGGCGGACGGGUGAGUAAUGCCUAGGAAUCUGCCUGGUAGUGGGGGAUAACGUCUGGAAACGGGCGCUAAUACCGCAUACGUCCUGAGGGAGAAAGUGGGGGAUCUUCGAACCUCACGCUAUCAGAUGAGCCUAGGUCGGAUUAGCUAGUUGGUGGGGUAAAGGCCUACCAAGGCGACGAUCCGUAACUGGUCUGAGAGGAUGAUCAGUCACACUGGAACUGAGACACGGUCCAGACUCCUACGGGAGGCAGCAGUGGGGAAUAUUGGACAAUGGGCGAAAGCCUGAUCCAGCCAUGCCGCGUGUGUGAAGAAGGUCUUCGGAUUGUAAAGCACUUUAAGUUGGGAGGAAGGGCAGUAAGUUAAUACCUUGCUGUUUUGACGUUACCAACAGAAUAAGCACCGGCUAACUUCGUG